GACGAACGCUGGCGGCGUGCUUAACACAUGCAAGUCGAACGGAAAGGCCUUUUCGGAGGUACUCGAGUGGCGAACGGGUGAGUAACACGUGGGUGAUCUGCCCUGCACUCUGGGAUAAGCCUGGGAAACUGGGUCUAAUACCGGAUAGGACCGCACUUUAGUGUGUGUGGUGGAAAGUUUUUUCGGUGUAGGAUGAGCCCGCGGCCUAUCAGCUUGUUGGUGGGGUAAUGGCCUACCAAGGCGGCGACGGGUAGCCGGACUGAGAGGUUGGUCGGCCACAUUGGGACUGAGAUACGGCCCAGACUCCUACGGGAGGCAGCAGUGGGGAAUAUUGCACAAUGGGCGCAAGCCUGAUGCAGCGACGCCGCGUGGGGGAGGACGGCCUUCGGGUUGUAAACUCCUUUCGCCAGGGACGAAGCGUUUUGUGACGGUACCUGGAGAAGAAGCACCGGCUAACUACGUG
Molecule: ribosomal RNA, 463 nt
Filed under: uncultured bacterium
Lineage: Bacteria
Description: partial 16S ribosomal RNA
Rfam family: Bacterial small subunit ribosomal RNA
Source: RNAcentral